RNAcentral lists this non-coding RNA (587 nucleotides) under Pimelea spectabilis. Its description in RNAcentral is "partial transfer RNA-Leu(UAA)". The stretch from base 12 to 512 matches the Rfam family "Group I catalytic intron". Rfam says of the family: Group I catalytic introns are large self-splicing ribozymes. The record is from RNAcentral. Lineage: Eukaryota; Viridiplantae; Streptophyta; Magnoliopsida; Malvales; Thymelaeaceae.
GGGGGUAAACGGUUCGGACUUAAUUGGAUGAGCCUGGUAUGGAAACCUAUUAAGUGAGAACUAUCAAAUUCAGAGAAACCCUGGAAUUAAAAAUGGGCAAUCCUGAGCCAAAUCCUGUUUUACAAAAAUAAACAAAGGUUCAGAAAGAAUUUAAAUAAAAAAAGGGAUAGGUGCAGAGACUCAAUGGAAGCUGUUCUAACAAAUGGGGUUUGACUACCUUUGCCUUAGUAAAGAAAUCCUUCUAUCGAAACUACAAAAAGGAUGACCUAUACGCAUAUCUAAAGGAGAUAAAAAAACUAUCUCAAAAAAAGACGACCCAAACCCGUAUUUAGAUAUAUCUAUUUUUAUGAAAAAUAGAAAUAUAAAAAAAGAAUUGUUGUGAAUUAGUAUUGAUUCUAAGUUGAAGAAGGAAUCAAAAAAAAAAUUCACCCCCAUAGUUUGAUAAAUCUUUUGAACAACUGGUUAAUUGGACGAGAAUAAAGAUAGAGUCCCGUUCUACAUGUCAAUACUGACAACAAUGAAAUUUAUAGUAAAAGGAAAAUCCGUCGACUUUUAAAAUCGUGAGGGUUCAAGUCCCUCUAUCCCCA